RNAcentral lists this ribosomal RNA (301 nucleotides) under uncultured bacterium. Its description in RNAcentral is "partial 16S ribosomal RNA". It matches the Rfam family "Bacterial small subunit ribosomal RNA", at positions 509 to 808 of the family's 1533-position model. The record is from RNAcentral.
CAGUCGCCGCGGUAAUACGUAGGGUGCAAGCGUUAAUCGGAAUUACUGGGCGUAAAGCGUGCGCAGGCGGUGUUGUAAGACUGAUGUGAAAUCCCGGGCUCAACCUGGGAACUGCAUUGGUGACUGCAACGCUGGAGUGCGGCAGAGGGGGAUGGAAUUCCGCGUGUAGCAGUGAAAUGCGUAGAUAUGCGGAGGAACACCGAUGGCGAAGGCAAUCCCCUGGGCCUGCACUGACGCUCAUGCACGAAAGCGUGGGGAGCAAACAGGAUUAGAGACCCCCGUAGUCCCUGUCUCUUAUACC